AUCUUGUGUCUCUGCACUGCAUCAUGGUGCUGUUCUUUUUCUAUUUUGAGAAUCUUUUUUGUUAUUUUGGCCUGAGUUUGGAUUUGAAAUCAAAAUCUCUUUUUAGAAUAUCGGCAGUCUUCUCUUGUGAUAUUCAAUUUUGUGUCGUUUUUGUAAACUGAUUUCUAUUGUACUUGGAUGUUCUGAAGCCCAUUCCAUCUAAAAUUUUAUUCCUAGUUAACGACAUAUGAUUCUCUGUUGCAAUUGCUGUUAAGGUUAUUGUCCAUUUAUUUAUGUUGUUGAUAUGAUUAGAUUGUAUCUAAUGAAAAUCAAAACCUUGUUUGAAAGCAUUAUCCAUUUCCUUUCUAGGUUUCUCGGUAUGAUUAAAAGAUAGGUUUUUAGGUGAGUGAAUUGUGAAAGUUUAAAUUUUGAUUCGAUUUUAUUUUGACUCUGCACAUCGAUAACGAUGGCAGUGAUCUCUUAUAUCAAUGACACUGGGAGUGGAGGAUUCAGGAGCAUGCAAAGUCUUUGUCUGAGAUUAUUUGCCACCAACUUUUAAUUGCUAGCAGACCUGAGAUUCCUCUUCUGUGGAUCUCUUUAAGAAAUGUAAUAUUUGAGUUUUGUAGACUUCUAAUCCAGAUUUGGUAGCUCAAUAUUCUUGAAGUAUACAACAUUAGUGGGUCCUGUUUUCUAUUUUUUAAUUUCUUUUACUAACUUAUUGUGGUGCAUCUAAGCCACAUUAGAGGUUUUUUGUUGCUUCUAACUGAUGACUGACCAUAUAUUUGUUUCAUCACUUGGAGAAUAAUUGGAAAGCUGUUUGAAUUCUUCUAGGAUGUUGUUCAGUAUGAUCACUCCAAUGCUGCUUUUCCUACUAUGAUUUAUGUAAAUUAAAUUUUUGGUGUAGGAAGAGUAUAUUAUGCUUUUAUUGAUACAAGCAUCAAAAGUGUUUUUGUACGAUUCAUAUGUUAAUACCAAGUUCAUACCUGUAUAGGCAGUAGUAAAUCUGGACUCUGGGUGUCAAAAAGAUUAUUUUUUGGUGCUUGAAUCUUUAGUUUUGCAGAAUCUAAUUUAUUUCUGAUUUUACAGAUCGACAUCGAUGGAGAAUUCAAACGAUACCUGUUCUUUCCUGCCAUGCCCUGCUCAAUUAACUUUCAUAAACAGCACAGAGAUUCAAUAUCAAUGGAAUACUGAAUUCUCAAAAGGAUUGCGGUACUUCCCUGCCAUGCCCUGCUGAAGUAACUAUCCUAAGCAGCAGAGCCCUGCAGAGAUUGAGAUUGAUGGAGAAUUCAAACGAUACCUGUUCUUUCCUGCCAUGCCUUGCUCAAGUAACUGUCAUAAACAGCAGAGAGAUUCAUUGUUGAUUGAAUACUUAAAAGGAUUGCUGUUCUUUCCUGCGAUGCCGUGUUGAAGUAACUAUCCUAAGCAGCAGAGCCCUGCAGAGAUCGAGAUUGAUGGAGAAUUCAAACGAUACCCGUUCUUUCCUGCCAUGCCUUGCUCAAGUAACUAUCAUAAACAGCAGAGAGAUUCAAUGUUGAUUGAAUACUUAAAAGGAUUGCUGUUCUUUCCUGCGAUGCCGUGCUGAAGUAACUAUCCUAAGCAGCAGAGCCCUGCAGAGGUUGAUAGAGAUGGUGGUGUCUUUGGAUGAAAGACACGUCGGGUGGAGGAUUCAAGGAAGCAUAUCAAGCGUGCAGCUGAGAUUCUUUGCCACCAACUUUUCAAGAACCAGUUACCUUAGAGUUAACUUAUUGUCGUGCCAUCAAAGGCAUGUUAGAGGUCCGUUGCUUCUUUUAACUGACUACCGAUCACGUUUUUGUUUUAUUACUUGGAAACC
Molecule: long non-coding RNA, 1810 nt
Organism: Rosa rugosa (rugosa rose)
Lineage: Eukaryota; Viridiplantae; Streptophyta; Magnoliopsida; Rosales; Rosaceae
Exons: 8
Source: RefSeq, a predicted model, not a curated record